AGCUUUGUGCAGUGGCAAUAUUGUAGCCAAUGUGGUUUAUCUGAGGCUAGAUUAUUGCUAAUUGAAAACUUUGCUCAAUACCCCACCAUGAGGACUUGAAAUAUAGUCAGCAUGGGAAAUUUUUGACAGUCUCUACAGAGA
This is a small nuclear RNA of Microcebus murinus (gray mouse lemur), 141 nucleotides long. Its record names the gene U4. It matches the Rfam family "U4 spliceosomal RNA". From Rfam's summary of the family: U4 small nuclear RNA (U4 snRNA) is a component of the major U2-dependent spliceosome. The structure of U4 snRNA from yeast and human has been reported. The record is from Ensembl. NCBI's taxonomy places the organism in Eukaryota, Metazoa, Chordata, Mammalia, Primates, Cheirogaleidae.